UACACGCCCUAAAUCACAUUCUUCCUCUUUUUCCUCUUUGCAUUCAAUAACCCAGACGUUUCUCUUCUCCUUCCGAAUAAAAUGUAAUAAUUUUUGUCAUUCAAUGGACAGCCGUUUCUCUUCUCCUUUCUCUUUAGAUAGAUUAUGAUAUAGACUAUCAGAGACUCUAUUUUCCUCUCUCAAGCUGCAUAUUUAAUUAGGAUGUUCAAACCUUCCAAGCUCCAAUUCUACUCUCAUGGUUGCUUUUACUAGAGCUAUUUGUCGUCCAGGACCAGAUGGAAGUGUUGCCACCUGCACUUGACUCUACAUCAGAAUCACCCUGUAUUUUCGAUGGAGCAACAAGGUUAAACGAUAUUUUUUUCCUCUAUCUCACUCUCUUUGGGAUUUGGGGACAAGCAUUGUCGGAUUCUGAAUUUUUCCUUUUGCUCUUCAUUCUGGAAGGUUGUAUAUUUCUUAUGCUCAGCAUAUAUUGGUCAAGAAACUAUAUGUUUAGUGCAUGCUCUUUCUAUAAUUCUGUUUAGGAUUUAACCCCGUUGAGGUAGCAGAUAAUCUACCACUUAAAUAAUUUAUCAUUAUAUUUUUUAUUUUGGAUUCCAGAGGUGUAGGGACUGCAAGAAAAGAUCGAUAUGGUAUCAAUUGAUCUAAUAAAUAGGACAAUUUCUAAACACAAUACGGGUGUUCACGUAGCUUUUAGGUGUAAAUUAUACCAAUUACUCUCUGCCUUUUUUGGCUAAGACAUUCUGCGUAUCCAUCCAUGGGAUAAGUGAGUUUUUCUCUUUGGUGAUUCCACUCAUUACUUCAUGAGUUUCAUAUUCAUCCCAAUUUCUAUCUCUAUAAGAUUUGCCACCACUUAUUUGUUGAAAGGUCUACACAUUAAACAUCUUUUAGUUUGUCCAUAUUCGUUAGUUCCUAUUAUAAUUUAUGUGCAGGAUUGAACAUAUACAAAAGAAAGCACAUUAAAGAGUUGGAACCAACUCAUGGGUAAAGUAGGGUGCUUGCUAUCCUGGACCAGCUCUUUGAUAUGCCAAUUGAAGUCGGCGGUUAUGGAUCCUGUCAUCCUUCAAUGUGUACAUUCGAAGAAGGUUGGGAAGUUGCAGAGGUGCUUGAUCGAUAUAUAAAAAGACAAUGUGGUAAUUGGUUGGAUAUGGGUGGAUAAGAGUUUUGUUUAUAUGUCUAGAUUUAACUCAUCUUACGAUUUUUACAGAUUUGAGAGAUCCAGGAGCGGAAGAUGGUGUGCAAAUGGACUUCCUAUUUGUUAUUGUUUUAAUGUAGGUGUAUUUUGUGCCUUAAAAAUCAUAUGAAGUGUAUAGGCUAUACACUUUAGAACGUGCAUAAAUGAGCCUUCUGUAGUGCAAAGACUUUGAGAACUCUUGCUUAUGUUUGGAAUGUAUACAGCAGUUUCCAUUCUUCAAAGUAUCAGAAUAACUAUGACAA
Molecule: RNA transcript, 1434 nt
Organism: Papaver somniferum (opium poppy)
Lineage: Eukaryota; Viridiplantae; Streptophyta; Magnoliopsida; Ranunculales; Papaveraceae
Exons: 4
Source: RefSeq, a predicted model, not a curated record